GGAGGUGCCGUGGCUCAGUGGUAGAGCAUUUGCCUGGCAUGCAGAAGUUCCCAGGUUCAAUUCCCAGCAUCUCCA
This 75-nucleotide transfer RNA is filed under the name Sphaerodactylus townsendi. Its description in RNAcentral is "tRNA-Ala". It matches the Rfam family "tRNA". Rfam says of the family: Transfer RNA (tRNA) molecules are approximately 80 nucleotides in length. Their secondary structure includes four short double-helical elements and three loops (D, anti-codon, and T loops). Lineage: Eukaryota; Metazoa; Chordata; Lepidosauria; Squamata; Sphaerodactylidae. The record is from RNAcentral.